Small nuclear RNA from Carcharodon carcharias (great white shark), 159 nucleotides. RefSeq annotates it as U1 spliceosomal RNA. The transcript has a single exon. The record is from RefSeq and is a predicted model, not a curated record. Lineage: Eukaryota; Metazoa; Chordata; Chondrichthyes; Lamniformes; Lamnidae.
AUUUCUGUCAGGCAGGGGAGAGACUAUGACCAUGAAGGUGAUUCUCCCAGGAUGAGGCUAGCCCACUGUACUUCAGGUGUGCUGAUGCCUGCAAUGUCCCCAAAUGCAUGAUACUUGACUACAAAAUUUGUGGUAGUGGGGGACUGCAUUCGCGCUUAA